RNAcentral lists this small RNA (544 nucleotides) under Pan troglodytes (chimpanzee). RNAcentral's name for it is "retained intron". Lineage: Eukaryota; Metazoa; Chordata; Mammalia; Primates; Hominidae. The record is from RNAcentral.
AGCGGAGCGGUGGGCCGGGGGCUGGAGGACAGGUUAGUGCGCUGGACGCAAGCACCAGGCGCAGCCUCGCUCGCCGAGACCCGGCCAGGUAAGGCCGGUGGCCGCGCGAACGUGUUACGUGUCAGUUUUUAGUGAAAAAACAUUGAGCUAGGAGCCAAGACCCAUCUCUUCACUAUUUUGGUAUUGUGCAAGUCAUCUUACCUCUCUGGAUCUCAGUUGUCUCAUCUGUAAAAAGGAGAUAAAAAUUAUUUACCUGCCUGAACAUGAGGUGGAGGACCAUCCUGCUACAGUAUUGCUUUCUCUUGAUCACAUGUUUACUUACUGCUCUUGAAGCUGUGCCUAUUGACAUAGACAAGACAAAAGUACAAAAUAUUCACCCUGUGGAAAGUGCGAAGAUAGAACCACCAGUAAGUGAAAUGAAGUGAAAUGGGAGGAAUUAUAACUAAAUGAAAUGAAUUAUAAUUGUAACUAAAUGAGGUAGAAUGAGGUGAAACUAUAACUAAAUGAAAUGAGAGGAAUUAUAACAAAAAUAUUGCUAAUAUUU